GGACUACACGGGUAUCUAAUCCCGUUUGCUCCCCAUGCUUUCGUACCUCAGCGUCAGUAUUAAUCCAGAAAGUAGUUUUCACCAAUGGUUAUCUCUUUAAUAUCGUCAAAUUUCACUUUUACUUUAAAAAUAUAACUUUCCUUUAUUAACCUCAAGUAAAGCAGUAUAAUUAUUAAUUUCUAAGUUAUGCCUAGAUUAUUUAAUAAAAACUUACUAAACCGCCUACAUACCCUUUACGCCCAGUUAUGACGAAUAACGUUAGUUCCCCCCGUGUUACCGCGGCUGCUGGCAC
Molecule: ribosomal RNA, 292 nt
Filed under: uncultured bacterium
Lineage: Bacteria
Description: partial 16S ribosomal RNA
Source: RNAcentral